Molecule: long non-coding RNA, 1653 nt
Organism: Cyprinus carpio (common carp)
Lineage: Eukaryota; Metazoa; Chordata; Actinopteri; Cypriniformes; Cyprinidae
Source: Ensembl
AUAUUAUAGACAAUGACGUGGAUGGAGAGACUGUUGACAUCGGAAUGACUGAGUCUAUGAUUUCAUUCCUCUUUGAGGGAUCAUUUAAAAAAACAAGCAAAAUUCCAUGGAUUUGUUCAGCAGAUGAAGGAGAUAGUGACAUUAACUCUUGAACCUGUGCCUGAAAGCCAGUCAAGAGCUGGAGCAAGUAAUAUCAGCCCGUCAACAGCUUUCCCUGAAUUUUUUGAAGUUCUGAAGUUCCCAUUUGAAGUUCAGGCCAAGUUGGACCGAAAAGAAUGCAGACUAACGUCAUCAGACCGAAACAAAAUUAUUAGAACGUUGUAUGAAAGCGUGGCUCAGUACAAAAUGUAUCUAACUACAGAAGAGUAUGUUCAAGUGGCUAAGGCCCUGACUCUGAGCACACUUGGCACGUCUCUGAAACGCAAGUUUAAAUUUGAGCGGACACCUUUGGCUGAUGUUGAAGAAGUGAAAAGACUUUGGUCAUUCAAAAAAAGUCUGCAACCUGAAGAAAGCAGUUGCAAAGAAAUUACAAGGCCUUUGGAGAAUAAUGCUGUUGGAGAGGAUGCUACAUCAAUAGAGGGACAUGUGAAAGUCCUGCAGGACCAAUAUAGAAGGACACAGUCAGAGACUCACAUUGUUGAAUAUCGAAUGAGGAGGAACUUUGCCUGGAGGCGGCAGGAGAUUACUAGUGGUAUGACUGUUGAAGAUGUCAACAAAUAUCCAUCAGGGCCUUAUCAAGAAAUUGGUUUCCUGUAUAAAUGUGUUCAACUGAGCCGCCACUUUCGAGAACAUUUUGGACACAUUACAUCCAGCGUGCUACGGCUUGCUCAAGGGAAAUCCCCUUUAGCAAAGCUGCACAAAGAAGCUAGAGAAGAAUCUCUCAUUGAAGACCAUCUUGGAAUUGAUUUUAAAGCAGCACUUCUCGUGUUGCCAGCCUUGUUCAGAGAGAAACUUGAACAUUUCAUUGUGCUUGGAGAGAGUGAACCAUCUUCACCAUAUCAUACUGUUCAAGUAGAGGAGACCACUGACUGGAAAACUGUGUUUACAAGAAGAGUCACUGCAGUCAUCAGAGUUGAUGGGAUCGAGAUAGACGAACGGUGUGGAUGAAGGGGCUCUUGCAGCAUUUUGUGCUUAUUUCGUCUUCAAUUUGACAUAUCCAUCCCAUUUGAAGAACACCCUGGUGUUUCUUCAGUGGUAUGUUUUGAGAGUUACUGUGGAUGGUGACAAGCCUCUACCUACCCCAGUUACCAGAAUAAUCAACCUUCUUAACUCAACAUUCUUAACAUAGACACAGACUGGUUAUUGUGUGGCAAGCUUUUAAUUCCUGGGGUUUUUUUGUCGUCAUUUUUACUCAUACUGUGUGAAAUGAGAAUGAAUGGACUGUCCUCUUGCCAGGUGAAGAGGUUGAUUACCAGGCAUUAGAUACCUACAAUGUUGAUGACAAGUUAUUUAUUAGCACUAGAUAUUCUUGCUGAAGACAAACUGCUGCAAACUUCAAAAUGUGCAGUACUUGAUGUAGCCUGUGUAAUAAGGCUGCUUUACUUGUUUGAGUUUUUCAUUGAAGAGCUAGUUUUUUCUUGACACGCUGUUGUGAGAUGUAAUGAAAUCUUUUUAAAAGAACAUUUCUAAAUAAAAUUGUGUAUUUGUCAGCCA